RNAcentral lists this ribosomal RNA (459 nucleotides) under uncultured bacterium. RNAcentral's name for it is "partial 16S ribosomal RNA". It matches the Rfam family "Bacterial small subunit ribosomal RNA", at positions 338 to 795 of the family's 1533-position model. The record is from RNAcentral.
CCUACGGGCGGCAGCAGUGAGGAAUAUUGGUCAAUGGUCGGGAGACUGAACCAGCCAAGCCGCGUGAGGGAUGAAGGUACAGAGUAUCGUAAACCUCUUUUGUCAGGGAACAAAGGCGGGGACGUGUCCCCGGAUGAGUGUACCUGAAGAAAAAGCAUCGGCUAACUCCGUGCCAGCAGCCGCGGUAAUACGGAGGAUGCGAGCGUUAUCCGGAUUUAUUGGGUUUAAAGGGUGCGCGGGCGGUCUGUUAAGUCAGCGGGAAAAGCCCGGGGCUCAACCCCGGACCGCCGUUGAAACUGGCAGUCUCGAGUUGGAGAGAGGUAUGCGGAAUGCGCGGUGUAGCGGUGAAAUGCAUAGAUAUCGCGCAGAACUCCGAUUGCGAAGGCAGCAUGCCGGCUCCACACUGACGCUGAGGCACGAAAGCGUGGGUAUCGAACAGGAUUAGAUACCCGUGUAGUC